This 88-nucleotide transfer RNA is filed under the name Rhodoferax sp. Its description in RNAcentral is "tRNA-Ser". It matches the Rfam family "tRNA". From Rfam's summary of the family: Transfer RNA (tRNA) molecules are approximately 80 nucleotides in length. Their secondary structure includes four short double-helical elements and three loops (D, anti-codon, and T loops). Further hydrogen bonds mediate the characteristic L-shaped molecular structure. tRNAs have two regions of fundamental functional importance: the anti-codon, which is responsible for specific mRNA codon recognition, and the 3' end, to which the tRNAs corresponding amino acid is attached (by aminoacyl-tRNA synthetases). tRNAs cope with the degeneracy of the genetic code in two manners: having more than one tRNA (with a specific anti-codon) for a particular amino acid; and 'wobble' base-pairing, i.e. permitting non-standard base-pairing at the 3rd anti-codon position. RNAcentral also lists the same sequence under 1 other name. Lineage: Bacteria; Pseudomonadati; Pseudomonadota; Betaproteobacteria; Burkholderiales; Comamonadaceae. The record is from RNAcentral.
GGAGAAGUGGCAGAGUGGCCGAAUGUACCUGACUCGAAAUCAGGCGUACCGAAAGGUACCGUGGGUUCGAAUCCCACCUUCUCCUCCA